Molecule: unclassified non-coding RNA, 335 nt
Filed under: soil metagenome
Description: partial contains 5.8S ribosomal RNA, internal transcribed spacer 2, and large subunit ribosomal RNA
Rfam family: 5.8S ribosomal RNA (bases 1-120)
Source: RNAcentral
GAUGAAGAACGCAGUGAAAUGCGAUAAGUAAUGUGAAUUGCAGAAUUCAGUGAAUCAUCGAAUCUUUGAACGCACAUUGCGCCCGCCAGUAUUCUGGCGGGCAUGCCUGUUCGAGCGUCAUUUCAACCAUCAAGCCCCCGGCUUGUGUUGGGGACCUGCGGCUGCCGCAGGCCCUGAAAACCAGUGGCGGGCUCGCUAGUCACUCCGAGCGUAGUAAUACAUCUCGCUCAGGGCGUGCUGCGGGUUCCGGCCGUUAAAAAGCCUUAUUUACCCAAGGUUGACCUCGGAUCAGGUAGGAAGACCCGCUGAACUUAAGCAUAUCAAUAUGCGGAGGA